UACUCCUACGGGAGGCAGCAGUGGGGAAUAUUGGACAAUGGGCGCAAGCCUGAUCCAGCCAUACCGCGUGGGUGAAGAAGGCCUUCGGGUUGUAAAGCCCUUUUGUUGGGAAAGAAAUCCAGCUGGUUAAUACCCGGUUGGGAUGACGGUACCCAAAGAAUAAGCACCGGCUAACUUCGUGCCAGCAGCCGCGGUAAUACGAAGGGUGCAAGCGUUACUCGGAAUUACUGGGCGUAAAGCGUGCGUAGGUGGUCGUUUAAGUCCGUUGUGAAAGCCCUGGGCUCAACCUGGGAACUGCAGUGGAUACUGGACGACUAGAGUGUGGUAGAGGGUAGCGGAAUUCCUGGUGUAGCAGUGAAAUGCGUAGAGAUCAGGAGGAACAUCCAUGGCGAAGGCAGCUACCUGGACCAACACUGACACUGAGGCACGAAAGUGUGGGGAGCAAACAGGAUUAGAUACCCUGGUAGUCCACGCCCUAAACGAUGCGAACUGGAUGUUGGGUGCAAUUUGGCACGCAGUAUCGAAGCUAACGCGUUAAGUUCGCCGCCUGGGGAGUACGGUCGCAAGACUGAAACUCAAAGGAAUUGACGGA
This 592-nucleotide ribosomal RNA is filed under the name uncultured bacterium. RNAcentral's name for it is "bacterial SSU rRNA". It matches the Rfam family "Bacterial small subunit ribosomal RNA", at positions 334 to 917 of the family's 1533-position model. The record is from RNAcentral.